Ziziphus jujuba (common jujube) is the source of this 135-nucleotide small nuclear RNA. Lineage: Eukaryota; Viridiplantae; Streptophyta; Magnoliopsida; Rosales; Rhamnaceae. The record is from RefSeq and is a predicted model, not a curated record.
GGGUGAAAUAGAAAUAGAUGUGGACGGCUGGCAUCUUCCAUGGCAGAGACGGGAGCAGCCUUAGGGCCUUAUCUGACCAUACAUGUUUGGUUAAGGCUACCCAUCCUUAUGGUGGUUCUCUAACCCAAUUGUUUU